GACGAACGCUGGCGGCGUGCUUAACACAUGCAAGUCGAACGGAAAGGCCCUGCUUUUGUGGGGUGCUCGAGUGGCGAACGGGUGAGUAACACGUGAGUAACCUGCCCUUGACUUUGGGAUAACUUCAGGAAACUGGGGCUAAUACCGGAUAGGAGCUCCUGCUGCAUGGUGGGGGUUGGAAAGUUUCGGCGGUUGGGGAUGGACUCGCGGCUUAUCAGCUUGUUGGUGGGGUAGUGGCUUACCAAGGCUUUGACGGGUAGCCGGCCUGAGAGGGUGACCGGCCACAUUGGGACGGAGAGACGGCCCAGACUCCUACGGGAGGCAGCAGUGGGGAAUAUUGCACAAUGGGCGGAAGCCUGAUGCAGCAACGCCGCGUGCGGGAUGACGGCCUUCGGGUGGUAAACCGCUUUCGCCUGUGACGAAGCGUGAGUGACGGUAAAGGAUAAAGAAGCACCGGCUAACUACGUG
Molecule: ribosomal RNA, 468 nt
Filed under: uncultured bacterium
Lineage: Bacteria
Description: partial 16S ribosomal RNA
Rfam family: Bacterial small subunit ribosomal RNA
Source: RNAcentral